UACGUAGGGGGCGAGCGUUGUCCGGAAUUACUGGGUGUAAAGGGAGCGUAGGCGGGAAGGCAAGUUGAAUGUUUAAACUAUCGGCUCAACCGGUAGUCGCGUUCAAAACUGCUUUUCUUGAGUGAAGUAGAGGUAGGCGGAAUUCCUAGUGUAGCGGUGAAAUGCGUAGAUAUUAGGAGGAACACCAGUGGCGAAGGCGGCCUACUGGGCUUUAACUGACGCUGAGGCUCGAAAGCGUGGGUAGCAAACAGG
Molecule: ribosomal RNA, 252 nt
Filed under: uncultured bacterium
Lineage: Bacteria
Description: partial 16S ribosomal RNA
Rfam family: Bacterial small subunit ribosomal RNA
Source: RNAcentral